RNAcentral lists this ribosomal RNA (328 nucleotides) under uncultured eukaryote. RNAcentral describes it as "partial 18S ribosomal RNA". It matches the Rfam family "Eukaryotic small subunit ribosomal RNA", at positions 1470 to 1796 of the family's 1831-position model. The record is from RNAcentral.
CCCUUAGAUGUCCUGGGCCGCACGCGCGUUACACUGAUGCAUUCAACGAGCUUAUAACCUUGGCCGAGAGGCCAGGGCAAUCUUGUUAACGUGCAUCGUGAUAGGGAUAGAUUAUUGAAAUUAUUAAUCUUGAACGAGGAAUUCCUAGUAAACGCAGAUCAUCAAUCUGCAUUGAUUACGUCCCUGCCCUUUGUACACACCGCCCGUCGCACCUACCGAUUGGAUGGUCCGGUGAAGCCUCGGGAUUGUGGUUCUUGCCGCUUUAUUGUGGCGUGACCGCGAGAACUUGUCUAAACCUUAUCAUCUAGAGGAAGGUGAAGUCGUAACA